UUGGCCCUCGUCGGCCGCCGUCCUCGCAGUCGCUGAGGUGGGGUUCGGGGGCGGUAGACACUGAAGCAAAGUGCUUGGGGAAGUGGUACGAUGAUUUGUCUCCAGAGGUGAAGAUCGACGUUAUCGCCAGUUGAGUAUUUUCGUUAUCUGCAAAUAAUUUUGGCCAGGUGGCAAGUUUAUGAACUGUGGAGUAAGAAGAACCUGCUUCUGCCUCUGACUUGGGUUCUAGUCUACAGGAAUAAGACAUUAUCAGUACUGGAAGAAGGAGGAGGUCUCAGGCUUAGGAGAUCAUCAUUUCUGGCAGCAGCCUGACCCGAGAUAUCUGACCAUAACUUCCAGGCAGGCCGGGAGCAGACAGAAG
This is a long non-coding RNA of Neomonachus schauinslandi (Hawaiian monk seal), 361 nucleotides long. RefSeq lists it as uncharacterized. The record is from RefSeq and is a predicted model, not a curated record. Lineage: Eukaryota; Metazoa; Chordata; Mammalia; Carnivora; Phocidae. The transcript has 3 exons.